This 604-nucleotide ribosomal RNA is filed under the name Leucobacter aridicollis. Its description in RNAcentral is "bacterial SSU rRNA". It matches the Rfam family "Bacterial small subunit ribosomal RNA", at positions 908 to 1507 of the family's 1533-position model. The record is from RNAcentral. Lineage: Bacteria; Bacillati; Actinomycetota; Actinomycetes; Micrococcales; Microbacteriaceae.
AAUUGACGGGGGCCCCGCACAAGCGGCGGAGCAUGCGGAUUAAUUCGAUGCAACGCGAAGAACCUUACCAAGGCUUGACAUAACCGAGAACGCUGUAGAGAUACAGAACUCUUUGGACACUCGGUUACAGGUGGUGCAUGGUUGUCGUCAGCUCGUGUCGUGAGAUGUUCGGUUAAGUCCGGCAACGAGCGCAACCCUCGUCCUAUGUUGCCAGCACGUUAUGGUGGGAACUCAUGGGAUACUGCCGUGGUCAACACGGAGGAAGGUGGGGAUGACGUCAAAUCAUCAUGCCCCUUAUGUCUUGGGCUUCACGCAUGCUACAAUGGCCGAUACAAAGGGCUGCGAUACCGCGAGGUGGAGCGAAUCCCAAAAAGUCGGUCUCAGUUCGGAUUGGGGUCUGCAACUCGACCCCAUGAAGUCGGAGUCGCUAGUAAUCGCAGAUCAGCAACGCUGCGGUGAAUACGUUCCCGGGCCUUGUACACACCGCCCGUCAAGUCAUGAAAGUCGGUAACACCCGAAGCCGGUGGCCUAACCCUUGUGGAGGAGCCGUCGAAGGUGGGACUGGUGAUUAGGACUAAGUCGUAACGCCACGGUGACUAUUUGC